GCGAAGUCCAGCUGCCCCAUUAUAAGCGAGUUGUAGGGGACACCAUGCAUCCGGAAAAAGACAGACGAAAGAUGAAAACCUAGGCAAGCCCUCUGCUUUUGCAGAGCGAACGUGGCCGCAGGCUUUUCAGCAUUGAAUUUGAACAAGCCAAUGGCAUCCCAAUCAUUGAAACAGGAAGCCAGAUAAACAGCAUGUUAUCAAGGGGGGAUCCGGGCGCUUCCCUUAAGCCGGCGCCAGCUGCGCCCUGUGGCUGUCCUAACAAAGUCCCAUUGACUCACCAGCUGAUUUUCCAGUGUUGGGCUCCGGGGGACAAGGAACCCUCUCUGCUGGCUGGAUUUCACCCCUACACACCGCCCCCACCACUCACCACUCACGUCCUCCCUCGAUCCUGCCUCCCCACUCAGCCCUCCGCAAACUGGGCUGAUUCUUUAUCCCACGACCAGGUUCUAUCGGCUCUGAGGAUUGAAGGGACCACAAGAGCCCAAGCACCGAGCGCCCUCAGGGCCGAGGGGGCCGAAAACGGGAGAGGAAAUGACAAGAGCUGAAGAGCCAGAAUGGGAAGGAGGUCCUCAGCCUAAACCUCGUGCAACCUCUCUGCAGUGCAAGGAUUCCACCCCCAUUCCUCCCACCCCCCACACCCACCUCUUGGCCUGAGGGCUUCCAGACUGUGCAGGAAGAGUCCAGAAGGAAAUCAGGUGGCCCGUGCCCCUGGAGCAAGCUUUGAGCUCCGUAAGUGAAAGGGAGUAGCUGUGGCCAAGGACCCAGCAGAUUGGGACCAGAGAUUUCACCAGCUCCAGCCAACAUGAGGACUGAUUUAUUUCUCGGGUCUUGAGGGGUUGAGAGAUAGAAAGCAAAAAAUGCCAACUCCCUGGGAGGUCUCUGAAUGCUUCGCCAGCUGCAUCAACCAGUAGGGAGCAGAGUCAGGAUGAGAGCCCUGAGUUUUUCCUAAGCCCCUAUCCAGCCAAUCAGGUCACAGUACAUGUGGACAUAAGGGGAGGAUCAAGGACCCCUAGACAGGACUAGCAGUGACAUUGAAGACGUUCCCCAUCUGAUCAGGGGAGAGGAUUUUUACAUGCCUUUUGUCCAUGAAAGGAAUGAAUUGUCUUUUGAGGUGGGGAGGGGGGCCGUCUCUGAGGAAUACCUGAGAUGAAUCCCUUGCCCUGUGUGUGUAUAAUGGCUAAAAGUGUGGGCUCUUAAGACAGACAGCCUGGGUUCAAAUCCUGGAUCUACCACUUAACUAGCCAUAGGAAUUUGAACGAAUUCUUUAAUCUCUGUCCAUCUCCAUUUCUUCAUCUGUAUGUAAAUGGAAUAAUAACUGUGGCUAUGUCAUAGAUUGUUGGGAGGAUUAAGGGCAAUAAACACAGGUGACACGCUUAGAAGAGUGCCUGG
Molecule: long non-coding RNA, 1389 nt
Filed under: Ursus maritimus (polar bear)
Lineage: Eukaryota; Metazoa; Chordata; Mammalia; Carnivora; Ursidae
Description: lncRNA (ENSUMAG00000002265.1)
Source: RNAcentral